UCGGUGCUUGCACCGAGAUUCAACAUGGAACGAGUGGCGGACGGGUGAGUAACACGUGGGUAACCUGCCCUUAAGUGGGGGAUAACAUUUGGAAACAGAUGCUAAUACCGCAUAGAUCCAAGAACCGCAUGGUUCUUGGCUGAAAGAUGGCGUAAGCUAUCGCUUUUGGAUGGACCCGCGGCGUAUUAGCUAGUUGGUGAGGUAAUGGCUCACCAAGGCGAUGAUACGUAGCCGAACUGAGAGGUUGAUCGGCCACAUUGGGACUGAGACACGGCCCAAACUCCUACGGGAGGCAGCAGUAGGGAAUCUUCCACAAUGGACGCAAGUCUGAUGGAGCAACGCCGCGUGAGUGAAGAAGGCUUUCGGGUCGUAAAACUCUGUUGUUGGAGAAGAAUGGUCGGCAGAGUAACUGUUGUCGGCGUGACGGUAUCCAACCAGAAAGCCACGGCUAACUACGUGCCAGCAGCCGCGGUAAUACGUAGGUGGCAAGCGUUAUCCGGAUUUAUUGGGCGUAAAGCGAGCGCAGGCGGUUUUUUAAGUCUGAUGUGAAAGCCCUCGGCUUAACCGAGGAAGCGCAUCGGAAACUGGGAAACUUGAGUGCAGAAGAGGACAGUGGAACUCCAUGUGUAGCGGUGAAAUGCGUAGAUAUAUGGAAGAACACCAGUGGCGAAGGCGGCUGUCUGGUCUGUAACUGACGCUGAGGCUCGAAAGCAUGGGUAGCGAACAGGAUUAGAUACCCUGGUAGUCCAUGCCGUAAACGAUGAAUGCUAGGUGUUGGAGGGUUUCCGCCCUUCAGUGCCGCAGCUAACGCAUUAAGCAUUCCGCCUGGGGAGUACGACCGCAAGGUUG
This 849-nucleotide ribosomal RNA is filed under the name Lactobacillus sp. RNAcentral describes it as "bacterial SSU rRNA". It matches the Rfam family "Bacterial small subunit ribosomal RNA", at positions 62 to 896 of the family's 1533-position model. The record is from RNAcentral. Lineage: Bacteria; Bacillati; Bacillota; Bacilli; Lactobacillales; Lactobacillaceae.